Molecule: non-coding RNA, 32 nt
Filed under: Mus musculus (house mouse)
Lineage: Eukaryota; Metazoa; Chordata; Mammalia; Rodentia; Muridae
Source: RNAcentral
UGCCAACAGUCUGUCUAGAAUGCUUUUGGCCU